UACGUAGGGGGCAAGCGUUGUCCGGAUUUACUGGGCGUAAAGAGCGCGUAGGCGGAAAUUUAAGCGUGGCCUGAAAGCCCCCGGCUCAACCGGGGAGUGCGGCUGCGAACUGGGUUUCUUGAGGACGAUAGAGGAGAGUGGAAUUCCUGGUGUAGCGGUGAAAUGCGCAGAUAUCAGGAGGAACACCAAUUGCGAAGGCAGCUCGCUGGGACGUUACUGACGCUGAGACGCGAAAGCGUGGGGAGCAAACAGG
This 253-nucleotide ribosomal RNA is filed under the name uncultured bacterium. Its description in RNAcentral is "partial 16S ribosomal RNA". It matches the Rfam family "Bacterial small subunit ribosomal RNA", at positions 524 to 776 of the family's 1533-position model. The record is from RNAcentral.